RNAcentral lists this transfer RNA (74 nucleotides) under Pseudourostyla cristata. RNAcentral describes it as "tRNA-His". It matches the Rfam family "tRNA". From Rfam's summary of the family: Transfer RNA (tRNA) molecules are approximately 80 nucleotides in length. The record is from RNAcentral. Lineage: Eukaryota; Ciliophora; Spirotrichea; Urostylida; Pseudourostylidae.
GGUAAAUAUAGUUCAAUUGGUAGAACGAUAGAUUGUGGAUCUAUUGGUUACAGGUUCGAGUCCUGUUAUUUACC